This 460-nucleotide ribosomal RNA is filed under the name uncultured bacterium. RNAcentral's name for it is "partial 16S ribosomal RNA". It matches the Rfam family "Bacterial small subunit ribosomal RNA", at positions 338 to 795 of the family's 1533-position model. The record is from RNAcentral.
CCUACGGGUGGCAGCAGUGAGGAAUAUUGGUCAAUGGACGAGAGUCUGAACCAGCCAAGUAGCGUGAAGGAUGACUGCCCUAUGGGUUGUAAACUCCUUUUAUAUGGGAAUAAAUUGUUCAACGUGUGGGAUUUCGUAUGUACCAUAUGAAUAAGGAUCGGAUAACUUCGUGCCAGCAGCCGCGGUAAUACGGAGGAUCCGAACGUUAUCCGGAUGUAUUUGGUUUAAAGGGAGCGUAGGUGGAUUGUUAAGUCAGUUGUGAAAGUUUGCGGCUCAACCGUAAAAUUGCAGUUGAAACUGGCAGUCGUGAGUACAGUAGAGGUGAGCGGAAUUCGUGGUGUAGCGGUGAAAUGCGUAGAUAUCACGAAGAACUCCGAAGGCGAAGGCAGCUCACUGGACUGCAACUGACACUGAGGGUCGAAAGUGUGGGUAUCAAACAGGAUUAGAUACCCCAGUAGUC